AAACAAACAAACCUUUCGGAACAUUCAGCGAUCAAAUAAAUGUAAACAAAACAGGCUGCUGUCAAAACAAAUAUUUUAUUUUGAAAUUUUGUUCAAAACAAUUACAUAUAUUCAAACAAUCAAAACAAUUUGGCCGUGAAUAUGGAAGAAAAAAAAAAUAAAAAAAGGAAACUGUGGGGGAGCCAGGAUGAGGAGUACCUGCUCGAACUCUGGGCUGAAAAGGAGUCUGAGCUGCGGGGCAACCUCAUCCCAGUACGAAGAAGAUGUAGAAACUCCGUCGGCCGAGUCUGCAUCUAGUUCAUCGCGGGCUACUCCGUCAAGGCUCCGGGCUGCAAAGAAAAGAAAAAAACUUUAACUCUAUUUUUUUUAAAUUGUUCCAAAAAUAAAGUUUUUAAAAUAAA
Long non-coding RNA from Eupeodes corollae, 401 nucleotides. RefSeq lists it as uncharacterized. The transcript is spliced from 2 exons. NCBI's taxonomy places the organism in Eukaryota, Metazoa, Arthropoda, Insecta, Diptera, Syrphidae. The record is from RefSeq and is a predicted model, not a curated record.